Molecule: long non-coding RNA, 215 nt
Organism: Zonotrichia leucophrys gambelii
Lineage: Eukaryota; Metazoa; Chordata; Aves; Passeriformes; Passerellidae
Exons: 3
Source: RefSeq, a predicted model, not a curated record
UGCGAGCAGAAGGAAGAGUCAGCGCUUAGAGGAGCUGCCUAUGAGAAACAUCAGGGAGAAACAGGAACUGCGGUUGCAUUCUGUGGUAUCAAGUGGAAGUGAGCAGUCCUGGGAUUCUGAGAAAUUGAGCACCAAACCAAUUCAGAAUUUGUCAUCAAGCCCCAGAGCAAUAUUUGGAGACUCUUCAUGUCCUUUACACAGGAAAAGGUCCCAGC